UAAACUGUGUUGUACAAGCCCUAAAGCAAU
This 30-nucleotide non-coding RNA is filed under the name Rattus norvegicus (Norway rat). Lineage: Eukaryota; Metazoa; Chordata; Mammalia; Rodentia; Muridae. The record is from RNAcentral.